RNAcentral lists this ribosomal RNA (194 nucleotides) under uncultured bacterium. RNAcentral's name for it is "partial 16S ribosomal RNA". It matches the Rfam family "Bacterial small subunit ribosomal RNA", at positions 1307 to 1500 of the family's 1533-position model. The record is from RNAcentral.
GCAACUCGACUGCAUGAAGUCGGAAUCGCUAGUAAUCGCAGAUCAGCAAAGCUGCGGUGAAUACGUUCCCGGGCCUUGUACACACCGCCCGUCACACCACGGGAAUCGGUCGCGCCUGAAGCCGGUGGCCUAUCAGUAAUGGGGGAGCCGUCUAUGGCGAGAUUGGUAACUGGGUGAAGUCGUAACAAGGUACC